AACGAACGCUGGCGGCGCGCCUAAUACAUGCAAGUCGAGCGAGAAGACGUAGCAAUACGUUUGCAAAGCGGCGAACGGGUGAGGAAUACAUGGGUAACCUACCCUCGAGUGGGGAAUAACUAGCCGAAAGGUUAGCUAAUACCGCGUACGCUCCUUGGACUUCGGUUCAGGGAGGAAAGCGAUACCGUGGGUAUCGCGCUCUUGGAUGGGCUCAUGUCCUAUCAGCUUGUUGGUGAGGUAACGGCUCACCAAGGCUUCGACGGGUAGCUGGUCUGAGAGGACGAUCAGCCACACUGGCACUGCGACACGGGCCAGACUCCUACGGGAGGCAGCAGUAAGGAAUAUUGCGCAAUGGGCGAAAGCCUGACGCAGCGACGCCGCGUGGGGGAUGAAGGUCUUCGGAUUGUAAA
RNAcentral lists this ribosomal RNA (410 nucleotides) under uncultured bacterium. RNAcentral describes it as "bacterial SSU rRNA". It matches the Rfam family "Bacterial small subunit ribosomal RNA", at positions 29 to 429 of the family's 1533-position model. The record is from RNAcentral.